This 5225-nucleotide long non-coding RNA is filed under the name Homo sapiens (human). RNAcentral describes it as "HSALNT0401367". Lineage: Eukaryota; Metazoa; Chordata; Mammalia; Primates; Hominidae. The record is from RNAcentral.
UCUCAAGACACAGUCAGCUGUUGGGGAUCAGAGGCGACACUCAUUGUAGCAGAGAGGCAGGACCAACUGGGAGAGGGUCCUUCUGUGACAACUAUUGCAUCACCGGGCUGUGUGAAGUGACUCAGCUGCCAGAACUCACACAAUAUCAUUCUACACCAAACCUCACGGGAAAAAUGCUCCACGACCCUCAGACUUAAACAGCAGCACUGGCUCCUCCCCAGAUCUCCAGCUCCCUGACCCUCAAACUCCAACUCCAACACCAGCUCUGCCCCAGGUCUCCAGCUCCACAAUCCUCAAACUACAACAGCAGCACCAGCUCCCCUGGGGAUCUCCAGCUCAAUGACUCUCAGACUUGGGAGGCAGCUCCAGCUCCCACCAAGCCUCCAGCUCCACAACCUUCAAACUAGAACAGCAGCACCAGCUACUCCCUGGGUCUCCAGCUCCCUCAAAAUUCAACUAUAGCACUGGCUGUUCCCCAGCGCCACCAGCUCCACAACCCUCAACUUACACGGUGGUAGCACCAGCUCCUCCCUAGGUCUCCAGCUACACGACCGUCAAACUUGAACUGCAACACCAGCUCCUCUUCGGCCUCCAGCUCCACAAUCCUCCAACAACAACAGCAACACCGGCUCCUCCCUGAAUCUCCAGCUCAACAACCCUCAGACUUGAGAGGCAGCACCGGCACCUCCCCAAGGCUCCAGCUCCAUGACCCUCAGAUUUGAACAGCGGUAGCACCAGCUCCUGUCCAGGUCUCCAGCUUCAUGAUCCUUAAACUAGAACAGCAGCACCACCACCUCCCUAGGUUUCCAGCUCCACGACCCUAAGACAUGAAUGGCAGGACCGGGUUCCCCGCUAGGGCUCCAGCUCCAAGACCCACAGAUAUAAACGGCAGCACCGGCUCUUCCUGGGAUCUCCAGCUCCACAGCCUUCAAACACGAUCAGCAGCACCAGCUCCCCUCUGGUUCUCCAGCUCCACAAUCCUCAGACAUGAACAGCAGCACAGGCUCCUCCUUGGGUCUCCAGCUUCUCUACCCUCAGACUAGAACAGCAACACUUGUUCCUCCCUGGGUCUCCAGCUCUUACAAGUCUCAGACUUGAAAGGCAGCACUGGCUCCUCAGAAAGUUUCUGGCUCCAAGCUGGUGCUGCUGUCCUAGUUUGAAGGUCAUGGAGCUGGAGACCCCGGAAUGAGCCAUUUGAACAGCAGCACUGGCCCCUCCCCAGGUCUCAGGCUCCACGACCCUCAGACUUAAAAAGCCGUAGUACGGGCUUCUCCCUGGGUCUCCAGCUCUACAACCCUCAGACAUGAACAGCAGCACCGGCUCCUCCCCCUGUCUCCAGUUCCACGAACCUCAAACUACAACAGCAGUACCGGCCUCUCCCCAGGUCUCCAGAUCCAUGACCCUCAAAAUAGAAUGGCAUCAUCAGCUCCUCCCUGGGUCUCCAGCUCCCAAACCCUCAAACUUCAACUAACACAGCAGAUCCUCCCCACAGUUAAACAGCAGCACGGGCUGUUCCCCAAAGCUCCAGAUACACGACCCUCAGUAGCACUGGCUCCUCCCAAGGUCUCCAGUUCCAUGACCCUCAAACUACACAGCAGCACCGGCUCCUCCCCAGGUCUAUAGCUCCACCACCCUCACACUAGACAUCAAGACUACCUCCUUCCCGCUCUCCAGCUACACGACCCUCAAACUUGAACAGCAGCAGCAGCUCCUCCCUAGAUUUCCAGCUCCAUGACCCUAAACCUGCAACAGCAGCACCAGCUCCUCCCUGUACCUCAAGCCCCAUGACCCUCUGACUUGAUCAACAGCAACAGCAGCUCCCUCCCUGGUCUCCAGCUCCACAACCUUCAGCCUUAAACAGCAGCAGCACCAGCUCCUCCCUGGGUCUCCAGCUCCACAACCCUCAGACUAGAACCGCACCCCUCCUCCCUGAGUCUCCAGCUCCAUGACCGUCAAACUACAACAGCAACACAGGUUCCUGUCUGGAUCUCCAGCUCAGCAACUCUCAGAUGAGGCAGCACCGGCAACUCACCAAGGCUCCAGCUCCACAACCCUCAGAUUUGAAUAAUGGUAGCACCAGCUCCUGUCCAGAUCUCCAGCUUCAUGAUCCUUAAACUAGAACAGCAGCACCGCUGCCUCCCUGGGUUUCCAGCUCCACGACCCUAAGACAUGAAUGGCAGAACCGGCUUCCCACAAGGGUUCCAGCUCCAGGACCCACAGAUUUAAAUGGCAGCACUGGCUCUUCCCAGGAUUUCCAGCUCCACUACCCUCAAACUAGAAGAGGAGCACCGGCUCCUCCCUGGGUCUCCAGCUCCCAAACCCUCAGACAUCACCUGACACACUGGAUCCUCCCCACAGUUACAUAGCAGCACGGGCUGUCCCCGAAAACUCGAGAUCCACAACCCUCUGACUUCAAUGGCGGUAGUACUGGUUCCUCCCUAGGUCUCCAGUUCCAUGACCCUCAAACUACACAGCAGCACCAGCUCCUCCCCAGGUCUACAGCUCCACCACCCUCACACUAGACACCAGGACUACCUCCUCCCCGCUCUCCAGCUACACGACCCGCAGAUUUGAACAGCAGCAGCGUCUCCUCCCUGUACCUCAAGCCCCAUAACCCUCAUAUAUGAACAACAGCAAUACCAGCUAAUGCCUAGGGCUCCAGCUCCAGGAUCCACAGAUUUAAACUGCAGCACCAGCUCGUCCAAGGAUCUCCAGCUCCACCACCCUCAGACUAGAACAAGACCUCUACUCCCUGGGUCGCGAGCUUCCGGACCCUCGAACUAUGAAAACAUUGCUCCUCCCUGGGUCCGCAGCUCCACGACCCUCAAACCAGAUCAAGAUCUCUCCUCCCUGUGUCGUCAGCUUCCUGACCCUUGAACUAUGACAACAUUGCUCCUCCCUGGGUCAGCAGCUCCACAACCCUCAAACCAGAUCAAGAUCUCUCCUCCCUGGGUCGCCAGCUUCCUGACCCUCGAACAACAGAAACAUUACUCCUCCCUGGGUCAGCAGCUCCAUGAUCCUCAAACUAGAAUGAGACCUCUCCUCCCUGCGUCGCCAGCUUCUGGACCCUUGAACUAUGAAAAUAUUGCUCCUCCCUGGGUCGGGAGCUCCAUGACCCUCAAACUAGAACAAGACCUCUCCUCCCUAGGUCUGCAGCUUCCAGUCCCUCAAAUAACAACAUUGCUCCUCCCUGGAUCUGCAGCUCCACGACCCUCAGACUAGAACACGAUCUGUCCUCCCUGGGUCACCAGCUUCCGAACCUUCGAACUAAAACAACAUUGCUCCUCCCUGGGUCUGCAGCUCCACGACCCUCAAACUAGAAAAAGACCUCUCCUCACUGUGUCGCCAGCUUCUGGACCCUCGAACUACAAAAACAUUGCUCCUGCCUGGGUCUGCAGCUCCACGACCCUCAAUCCAGAUCAAGAUCUCUCCUCCCUGUGUCAUCAGCUUCCUGACCCUCGAACUAUGACAGCAUUGCUCCUCCCUGGGCGCACCCUCAAACUAGAACAAGACCUCUCCACCCUGCGUCGCCAGUUUCCGGAGCCUCAAACUAAAACAACCUUGCUCCUCCCUGGGUCUGCAGCUCCACAACCCUCAAACUAGAACCAGACCUCUCCUCCCUGUGUUGCCAGCUUCCUGACCCUUGAACUAUGGAAACAUGGCUCCUCCCUAGGUCUGCAGCUCCACGACCCUCAAACUAAAACAAGAUCUCUCCUCCCUGGGUCUGCAGCUCCACGACCCUCAAACUAAAACAAGAUCUCUCCUCCCUGUGUCAUCAGCUUCCAGUCCCUCAAAUAACAACAUUGCUCCUCCCUGGGUCUGCAGCUCCACGACCCUCAAACUAAAACAAGACCUCUCCUCUCUAGGUCUGCAGCUUCCAGUCCCUCAAAUAACAACAUUGCUCCUCCCUGGAUCUGCAGCUCCAUGACUCUCAGACUACAACAAGAUCUCUCCUCCCUGGGUCACCAGCUUCCGGACCCUCGAACUACGAAAACAUUGCUCCUCCCUGGGUCUCCAGCUCCAUGACCCUCAAACUAAAACAAGAUCUCUCCUCCCUGUGUCAUCAGCUUCCAGUCCCUCAAAUAACAACAUUGCUCCUCCCUGGGUCUGCAGCUCCACGACCCUUAAACUAGAACAAGACCUCUCCUCACUGUGUCGCCAGCUUCCGGACCCUUGAACUAUGAAAACAUUGCUCCUCCCUGGGUCCGCAGCUCCACGACCCUCAAACUAAAACAAGAUCUCUCCUCCCUAGGUCUGCAGCUUCCAGUCCCUCAAAUAACAACAUUGCUCCUCCCUGGAUCUGCAGCUCCACGACCCUCAGACUAGAACAAGACCUCUCCUCCCUGAGUCACCAGCUUCCGAACCUUCGAACUAAAACAACAUUGCUCCUCCCUGGGUCCGCAGCUCCAUGACCCUCAAACUAGAACAAGACCUCUCCUCCCUAGGUCUGCAGCUUCCAGUCCCCAAAUAACAACAUUGCUCCUCCCUGGAUCUGCAGCUCCACGACCCUCAGACUAGAACAAGAUCUCUCCUCCCUGGGUCACCAGCUUCCGGACCCUGGAACUACAAAAACAUUGCUCCUCCCUGGGUCUGCAGCUCCACAACCCUCAAACUAAAACAAGAUCUCUCCUCCCUGUGUUGCCAGCUUCCGGACCCUCGAACUAUGACAACAUUGCUCCUCCCUGGGUCUGCAGCUCCACGACCCUCAAAGCAGAUCAAGAUCUCUCCUUCCUGUGUCAUCAGCUUCCUGACCCUUGAACUAUGACAACAUUGCUCCUCCCUGGGUCUGCAGCUCCAUGACUCUCAAACUAGAACAGCAGCACCAGCUCCUUCCUGGACCUCCAGGUCAAUGACUCUCAGACUUCAAAGGCAGCAGCAGCUCCACCCCCAGGCUCCAGCUCUAAAACCCUCAGAUGUGAGCAGUGGCAGCACCAGCUCCUUUCUGCGUCUCCGGCUUCAUGAUCCUUAAAUUAGAACAGCAGCGCCAUCUUCUCCCUGCGUCUCCAGCUCCAGGAACCUCAAACUGCAACAGGAGCACCUGUUCCUCUGGGAUUUUCACCUCCACGACCCUGAGGUGUCAGUGGCAGCACUGGCUCCUCCCCUGGGCUGCAGCUCCAGAACCCUCAAGAAUAAUCCCUUCUCAUGAAAUGUAGCAGUCAGGAAAACUGCAGAGGAAGUAAAUAAAUAAAUGUUUUCUUUCAAACUGAUGUUUCUUUUAUAUUCAC